RNAcentral lists this ribosomal RNA (221 nucleotides) under uncultured bacterium. RNAcentral's name for it is "partial 16S ribosomal RNA". It matches the Rfam family "Bacterial small subunit ribosomal RNA", at positions 524 to 743 of the family's 1533-position model. The record is from RNAcentral.
UACGUAGGGUGCAAGCGUUAAUCGGAAUUACUGGGCGUAAAGCGUGCGCAGGCGGCUAUGCAAGACAGAUGUGAAAUCCCCGGGCUCAACCUGGGAACUGCAUUUGUGACUGCAUAGCUAGAGUACGGUAGAGGGGGAUGGAAUUCCGCGUGUAGCAGUGAAAUGCGUAGAUAUGCGGAGGAACACCGAUGGCGAAGGCAAUCCCCUGGACCUGGUACUGA